CUCUUCCGGCGUCGCCCAGGAGAUCAGGGGUGUGGCGGGGCCUGCGCGAUCAAUCCGCAGGCGCCGUGUGAUGGAGAAUGGGAAGGCAGUUCCCGGCCCAAGUCACCAACCUGUUCUGGCCAGUUUAAACCCCACUGCGAACUGGGAAAGUGGCCUUAUUCCUGUGACACGGGUGAGAGCUGAAGUAGGUAUCGGUCCCUGGCCGCCAGGAGGCGCAGGCGAGCUACCCCUACUCCAGGCCCGCCCGCUGUGGGUGGGAUUGGGGAGCGGACUCCAUCUCGGCCUUGGCACCUUCUACUACAACGCAGACAGGAACAGACAACUGCCUCACCCUGCUCUGGGCCUCUCCUGAGCUAGACUCUGUGAGAUUCUGGGACGUUGCAAGUCGAUCUGUUAUGGGGAACAGAAUUCUGAAAAUGGCCACCUCCAAGAUUCCGUGCCUAAAUCUCCAGAACCUGUAAAUAUGAUAAUCUCACCUAUGAAUAGUUACACUACAUGGUGAAAGGGUUUUUGCAGACAUAACUAAGGUUACUCAUUAGCUGAUCUUAAAAUAGAAUAUGAUUCUGGAUUAUUUUGGUAGGUCCAAGGUAAUCAUAAGGGUCCUUAAAGGCAGAAGAGGAAGGUGGAGAAACUUGAAGUAGGAGAAGAGUUUUGUCCAUGAGAGGGACAAGUGUCAGGCUGAGAAUCUGAGAAGAGCUGCAACAACAGCCAGUAAGAAGACAGACCUCAUGGCCGGAGGCAGUGGCUCAGGCCUGUAAUCCCAGGACUUUGGGAGGCCAAGGAGGGCAGAUCACGAGGUCAGGAGAUCCAUACCAUCCUGGCUAACACGGUGAAACCCCGUCUCUACUAAAAAUACAAAAAAUUCGCCGGGCGUGGUGGCGGGCGCCUGUAGUCCCAGCUACUUAGGAGGCUGAGGCAGGAGAACGGCAUGAACCCAGGAGGCGGAGCUUGCAGUGAGCCAAGAUCGUGCCACUGCACUCCAGCCUGGGCGACAGAAGGAGACUCGUCUCAAAAAAAGAAAGAAAGAAAAGAAAACGGACUUCAGCCCUAGAAGUGCAUGGAGCUAGAUUCUGCCCACAACCUGAAUGAGCUUGGAAUCAAAUUCUUCCCCAGAGCCUCCAGACAGCAACUCAGUCCAUACCACACCUUGAUUUCAGCCUUUAUGAGACCCACAGAAGACCUACUUGGGCUUCUGACCUAUGGAAUGGUGAGCUAAUAAAUGGAUAUUGUUUUGACC
Molecule: long non-coding RNA, 1237 nt
Filed under: Macaca fascicularis (crab-eating macaque)
Lineage: Eukaryota; Metazoa; Chordata; Mammalia; Primates; Cercopithecidae
Description: lncRNA (ENSMFAG00000060589.1)
Source: RNAcentral